Molecule: ribosomal RNA, 460 nt
Filed under: uncultured bacterium
Lineage: Bacteria
Description: partial 16S ribosomal RNA
Rfam family: Bacterial small subunit ribosomal RNA
Source: RNAcentral
CCUACGGGUGGCAGCAGUGAGGAAUAUUGGUCAAUGGCCGGAAGGCUGAACCAGCCAUGCCGCGUGAAGGUCAGUGCCCUAUGGGCGUUAAACUUCUUUUGUGCGGGAGCAAUAAUGGUCACGUGUGGCCAGACGAGAGUACCGUACGAAUAAGCAUCGGCUAACUCCGUGCCAGCAGCCGCGGUAAUACGGGGGAUGCAAGCGUUAUCCGGAUUUAUUGGGUUUAAAGGGUGCGUAGGCUGUGAGGUAAGUCAGCGGUGAAAUGCCCCCGCUCAACAGGGUGAAGUGCCAUUGAUACUGCCUGGCUGGAAUGCGGAUGCCGUGGGAGGAAUGUGUGGUGUAGCGGUGAAAUGCAUAGAUAUCACACAGAACACCGAUUGCGAAGGCAUCUCACGAAGCCGCGAUUGACGCUGAUGCACGAAAGCGUGGGUAUCAAACAGGAUUAGAUACCCGAGUAGUC